CAAAUGAAUGUUGUAAAACAUAACUUUGAUAUUACUAAAAACAGAAGAAUUCUUCCUAGCAGUACAUCAGUCAUAAAACAAAUAACAUUGUCUCCAAUAGAGUGUGCGUUUUUGUGCUCCUUAGAAGAAACUUGUUGCUACGCUAGUUAUGACAGAAUUACAAAUCACUGCUACUUGGAUGGAUCUUGUUGCCCACAAAAUGAGUCGUCAGUGGAUGCACUAAUGUUAAAGAAAAAUACAGGUAAUUUCUUUUUUUUUGACUAGAUUUGGAAACAAUUAUCAUACGUGUUGUUAUACCGGUUAAAGAAAAUGUAAGUAUAAAUAUUUUAACAAUCCCAGUUUUUGUCUUUUAAAUGACUCACGAAAUAGAAAUACAUUCACUGAACUUGAAUUUUUGUAAACUAUUAGAGCCAUAAACGAAUGCAUAUUCAAUUUUUAAUUAUAUGAAACCUUUUUUAAUAUGUUAACUCAAUUAAAAAAUUACCCUUAGGCUUUUUUUAAAUAAAUUGCCUCCAUUUUUUUUACAACUAUCUUAGGUUUUAUAUUUGCAAAAAUAUUAGAAAAUUCUAAAUAAAAAUGCUUAAAAUUUGUCUAUUUACAAAGUAGAUGUAAUCAUCAUGUUUUCGUAGAAAGAUGUCGCUAGUGAUGUGCCAGUUCAAUCACGUUUAAGAUUUUUAAUGCAAAAUAUUUUGAUCAUUGGAAGCCAUAUGUAUGUUUUAGUUUAAUUAAAAUACACUGUAAUGUAGGAAUAUCUAAGACUAAGUGAGCUUUUUUAGUGAAGGAAUUGUCUUUUGAGUUCCUUUUGUUUGUUGUUUUAUUUUUUGCGUUGUUUUAUUAUCUCAAACACUUAGAUAAGCUGUGUAAAAAGGGUAAAACAUGUUAAAAGAACAACAUUUCUUCAUUGUUUUAUAAAUGCAUUAGAGUAAUAUAUGCAUACGGUAAUUUGUUUAUAAAUUAACGUCAGUAAUACUAUUUCGUCGUUUUUAAUUGUUUAAUUCUGCCAGAUAUCAGUUUGUAUCUGUUUGAUUUUUCGGUAAUUACUACAGCAAUGUAGUUAAAUAAUCAAUUCAUAUCCAUUCAAACAUUAUACUAUUGCUUAUUCCAAGUGUGAAUUUGGAAUGAUACCUUUGAUAAAUUGGGCGUUCGUUCGACUAUGUGGGAUGCACAUGCAAGUCCACAGCCACGUCCGGUCAAACUGGGAUGGAAAAUCCAAUGUCUCUUUUAAAGAAAGUGUCAAUAUUUUGCCGUAUUGAAAACCUUCAAACCAUUUUGUUAAGGGUCCAUAGGUGGCCUGAUGCAAUGUAAAUUGUCCUUUUAUCCCAUAUACAAAUGUAUCUUCCUUUUUAAAUGGCAAUGCAGAAUCUACAGACCUUUAUCACUGAAGUUCUCUAUUACACGACCUGUUGUAGUUUUUAAUGAUUUGCUUUUUUCCCUGAACAUGCAUUUAGUAUUUGCCUGUGGACGUUAAACAGCCGACAAUGGAUCAUUAUCGUUUAUUGCUGAAAAAUAUUGAAUUUUACCAGCCACUGGACUGAACUCUCCUCUUAAACGUCUUGUACUACGAACAAUUUGUUUGCCUCAUACCCAAACUUGAUACCUCAAAGUUUUCCUAAAUAAUACACCAAGACAAAUUUUAAACGUCCAUAUGAAUAAAACAGAAGUAAAUCGGUGUUCAAAGUUCGGAAAAUCAACUAUAAAGAGACAACUCAUGGUUACAAAGCCAAUCUGAAGGAAUUACUGAAAUCCGAAAUAAAAAAAAAAAAACAUGUGAGCCCUUAAGUUAAGCGUUUUCUGCAUUUAUACAGCGCCCAUCAUAUACAAAAUUAUUCGUUUUCUCGUUUCAAUUGGUUUAUAUUUUGUGAUUUCGGGGCCUUGUAUAGCAGUUGAAGGUCGUACUGUGACCUUUCCCUGUUAAUUUCGUUGUCAUUUGGUCAUUUGGUCACCUGUGAAGAGUUGUCUUAUUGGCAUAUAUUUAUAAAGUAAAACUGGUAUUCUUUAGAAAAAAAAAUUAUAUCAGAGACAAAUUAAAGCUGCCAUAUAUGACUUCAACAAACUAAUUAAUUUUACAUUUGUCAUUCAACAUCUUAUACUAGACACAACUAGCACUAUAUUCUCAUUUUCUGAUAAAGUAAGAAUUUAAUACAUAAAAUAGUUUAAGCAAAAUGUACAUGUAAAAAGACAACUAUUUGAUCACGUGGGAAAAUCAAUCACGUGACAAUUCAAUCUUUAAAAAAUGUCAAACAUUAAACUUAAUAUGGGGUAUCAUACUUAUAUUUUUUUUUCUAUCUAUAUUAAUAUUACAUUUAGAAUAAAUGUUACGUGUAUGUGUGUGCAUAUAUCAAAUAUAUUAUGUAUAUUCCACCCAAUUAGUGUGUGUAAGAAUUUAUCAAGGUACUAAUUAUUGUUAUCGUCAGUAAUGUGUAUACUUCUUGUUUACCCUAGGGCUUCUGUUUCAAAAUAAAAUAUAUUAUUGAUCGAUUUCUUAUUUCUUUGAAUUGAAUCUGGAACGGAGAUUCAAUGGCUUAACUGGGAUCAAAACAUAUUGCCUUCAUCUUGUCAAAACUUUUCAGUUCUCUUUCAAUAAAUGGCAAUUGCUCUUUUGGGAUCCAAUGUCUAAUUUUGUUUAGACUAGAGGCUCUAAGAAGCCUGUGUCGCUCAACUGAUAUUUUGUUUUACAAUUUAUGCAUAGAUUAAUGCAACCAUUAUACUUUUGCUUUAGUUUCAGAGAUAAAGGCCAACAACUUUACCCUUAUAUUCUAUUUAAGCCAUGUUCGCCAGGUUGUUUGGAAAGCAGGGUCACCAGACACAUAAUUUAUUAGGUACCUCAAUGAUGAUUGAGGCCAAGUUUGGUUCAAUUCGCUCAGUUGUUUUAGAGGGUAAUACUUUUGUAAAAGAAAACAUAAAUUUACAAACAUUGUUAAAAAUUGACUUUUAAGACCAACAACUCUUUAUGGUGUCAACUGACAAUUUUAGUCAUGCUGACUUUUUUGUAGAUAUUACUUUGCGGAACAGUAUUGCUGUUUACAGUUUAUCUCUAUCUAUAAUAAUAUUCAAGAUAACCAAAAACUGCAAAGUUUUCUAAAAAUUACCAAUUCAGGGACAGCAACCUUACAAGAGGUUUUCUGAUUCGUCAUAGAAUACGACAGAUAGGUUUUAACCUGAUAAACAUUAAUACAGAUUCUCAAAUUUGCUCCUAUGCUUUAGUUUCAGAGAUAUAAGUCAAAAACUGUAUUUGACCACUUUGUUUUAUUUUUUGCCAUGUCGGCCAUGUUGGUUGCCAAGUGAGGUCAUCGGACACAUUUAAAAAAAAAAACAAUAUACCUUAAUGAUGAUUGAGAUUAAGUUUGAUUAAAUUUGCUUCAGUAGCUAGUUUCUGAGGGAAAUAUUUGUGUAUGAUUUUUCCGAUUUAUUUUUUGAAACAAUAACUACUCAAGGGGUUCAAUUGACCAUUGUAUUUAUAGAUCUUACUUGGCUGAACAUUAUUGGUGUUUACAGUGUAUCUCAUCUAUAACAUUAUUCAAGAUAACACAAACUGCAAAAUUUUCUACAAGUUACCAAUUCAGGGACAGCAACCAAACAAUGUUUUGUCCGAUUUGUCUGAAAAUUUCAGGGCAGAUAGAUUUUGAACAAUUUUACCUCAGUCAAAUUUGCUCUAAAUGCUCUUGUUUCAGAGAUAUAAUCCAAAUACUGCAUUUUACUCCUUUGUCCAUUUUUAGCCUUGUCGUCAAUAUUGGUUGGUUGGCGGUGUUUUUGAACACAUCUUUAAAAGUGGAAACCCAAGUGAUAAUUUUGGCUAAGUUUGGUUAAGUUUGGCCCAGUAGUUUCAGAGGAUUUUUGUUAAGGGUUACGACGACGGACGACGGACGACGGAAGCCAAGUGAUGAGCCCAAAAUUGAACAAGCACUUUGGAACCAUAGUGGUUCGGUUUGUUCUGUUAAGACAUUCCAAUGUGGUAUUGAAUAUACACCACUUAUCAAUCUCAAAGUAUUAAGAUGUUGACCGAUGUAUUGUCAAUUGGUGGUUAUAGUGAAAACAAUAUUGACCUAUAAGCUGCAAUACUGCGAUAUUGUAAAGAUGACGGAUAAAUGGUUAUCCCUUUAUUUCAUCACCAAUUUAACUUUUUGAAUUGUAAUCCUGUUUAUACCAUAUCUCGAGUAUACCCUGAUUAGCUUUCUAGUGUCUCGUGAAAAGCCUUUGUUUCGGACAUUUCGGUUUAUAAGCAGCCAUUCUGUUUAUGUGAACAUUUCGACAAAUAUAUUCUUCCGAAUUACUAUUAUGCGAGCUGCCCUAGGAACUCUUUUGUGUUUGCUGGUCAUUUCCUACAAGUCGCAAGUUUUGUAACAUAGUCAUAUUGCGCUGUUGCCCCCUCUGUUGUUUACAUGUUGAACUACUGUUGUCUUUUCGCCUAUGAUCAGAAAAUGUUGCCAUCGAUACUUAGGUACAAAAUGUUGAACUUUGAGAAGUACUGCUUCUAACGCUAGAAGAAUAAUGCAAAACAAUUUUUGGGUUUCUGUCAAUGUGCCAAGAAAAACGCAACCUUUUUGUGACCCAAACAACCUAUCUUCACUAGAUACUCGUUUAGGUUUUAAGUGAAUACAGUCCUUGGAUGGUGUAAACUUCCCACUAACACAAUACACCAUAACACCAUACACCAUACACCAUUACACAUUACACCAUGUACCAUUACACCAUACACGUUACACCUUUGCCCCAUAGACCUUACACAUUACACCAUACACCAUUCCUCAUUAUAUCUUCACGAUCCGAAAUUACCCAUGAUGCAAUUAAAUUUCAAAUAUUAAGAUUAUUAUUAUUGUUUAUGUUUACAAUACGAAAAAAUUAAAUAAAAAGAACUUCGUUUUCAACCAAUGAAAUGUCGUACACCAUCAUUCACAACAUUCCCGAUCGCACGUUACGCAAUCACACAAUUCCUCAAACACCAUUACCAUUCUCCUUACGCCAUACACCAUAGCACCAUACACCUUACACCAUUACACCAUAUACCCUACACCAUUACACCAUACACGUUUUUGGGGAAGUCUAUACCAUCCAAGGGCUGUAACUAGUCAAGUCACCAGUUUUACUCGGAACUUAAUAAGGCAUACUGUAAAAGAAACUUUCCUUUAUAAAGCACAUAAAGUAUGGAAACAGGCAAAAUGUGAAAGAGACAAAAACCCAACAUAACACAACAAACACAUCAAAAACAUAAUUCGGUCUUAUUUCAAAGAGAAAAAUUCGCACAUAGAGACAGGAUUUAUCUGACCCUUCAUACUGAUUCAUUAAAUUUUGGAAAGACAGCAUAUUUCAUGAGUAAGAUGGGAAUACUACCUUAUUUUACCUGUCCAAUUGCAAAUGUAUAUAAAAAUCUGUUGACAUAUAAAAAAGAAGAUGUGUUAUGAUUGCCAAUGAGACAACUGUCCACAAGAGACCAAAAUGACACAGAAAUUAACACCUAUAGGUGACCGUACGGCCUUCAACAAUGAGAAAAGCCCAUAGCGCAUACUCAGCUAUAAAAGGCCCUGAAAUGACAAUGUAAAACCAUUCAAACGUGUCUUCUUAAAAAAUCAAUAGAAGCAUGACAAAACCGAGUGAUUUUGAAUGCACUUAUCAUCAGUGUUUAUACUGGCUAUAUAUUUAUCCAUACUUCUCUUAAGUCCUAAAAUUACAGAUGUCCUAAAGAAAAUAAUUAUUUUUGAUAGUUAAGAGGAUAGUUAAGAGAAAGGUUUUAUUUCCGGUUUUUACAAGUUUAAACGCCUAAUCGAAGGUUAUUAAUUUGAUUCGAUAAGGAAUACUAUUGCCAAAAAAUAAUAAUACUGGUCUCUUAAUUCAACAAACGUAUACAAAUUUGUAUGCAAUUUAUUCAACACACAGAGAAAACUACUCUUGAAAUCAGGUUUAAUUUCGCUUAGUUUUUAAUAAAGCAAGCAUGUUUCAACAAAUAACAAAAUGAUGUAUUAAAUGUUAGUAUCCAAACUAAAUCUACCAGUUGACUAUUUUCAAAUUACUUGACUAAUUUUAACAAGUAUUUCAUAAAAUCCCUUGAGAAAUUAAAAAGCAUUUUACAAGUGCUUCAUGCGAUUACAUUUUCACAUACCAUAUCAUAUUUAAGUUGAAAACGAUGGAGCAGUUUACAAUUUGAUAAUUAGCAUGCGUUGUUCAAGUUUUGCAGUUUGAAAAUUGGUUCUAUUAAACUAUUAAUAAUUCAAACAAACAUUGACAAUUUCUAUUUGAUUGACGCGAUUUUAACAAAUAGUUCCUAUAUUUUUUGAAAAAUCAUCGUGUUAAUUAAUCUGAUAUUCCCAGAAGCGCUACAACUCAUUUGCUUAUGGAACAUUUUGUUCUUGUAAUAACUCACUUAUUUAUAUAAAGCUGUGUUAGCUUACAAGUUGUUCUGAAAGAGACUUUUUGACUAAUUACAAAUCAAUAUAUUCCUGUUUGAUUUAUUUUCGUACAGGGAAUUAUUACAUAUAGAUAAAAAAAAAUAUGUUUCAUGGUGUACUUACUUCAUGUUGGUCGCAAUAUAAAAGGUUUCGUCAUAAUAUAUUAUUUACAAACUAUUUCAUCAACUGUAACAACAUCAAACGACCACACAUGCAUCUCGUCAUUAAUUUGUCCUUCUCGUUGAUUUCAACAUUUUAUCAGUUCAAUUAAAGAUUCCAACUAAGUAUUAUCUUUAAAAUACAUCGUAAAAUAUAUGAUAAAAAAUUAAAGGCAAACUAUAGAGCCAGUGUGUAAAGAAGUAUACAAGACUACAUAUACCAUUUAAGUAUUAUAGAAAACUCGCCUAUUAUGAAACAUAACUUUUUUUGAUAUAAUUACAGUAUACACAUUUUAACUUCUAUUCAUCGUAAGUGAACAAGCUUUGUCAAAGCUACGAAUCAUAUUCAUAUAGAUAUAAUAAGGAGUGCCAAUGACACAAAUCUCCAUCUCAAUACAUCUUGUGAAGGUCAACAACUAUCUCUGAAUAAAUUCAUCAUAUACGCACGUUUCGACUUCAAAUGACUCACUAUUGACACUUGAAUAAAACACUUUUUUUUUUAUAGAUAUACAAUAGCUAUCAAAAUGUUGCUUUGUCAGAUGUUGUUUUCCCUGAAAUCGUUAACAAUUGGACACGCUAAAACAUAUGUAUUAACUUACUCAUUUAAACGGUAACUGAAUCUCCUUAUAUAUUUUCGUUUAAUAUCCCUUUCACAAAUUUUAAUGGUAACACUGUAUAUUGUAUAUCGAGAUUUUAAAUGAAAUUGCUUUUUGUAAAUGGCAUGAAAAGAUUCUGUUGUUGGUCACUAGUUUUGUUUGGUGAAUUAUAGACUGCGUGUUUCUCUUUCGAAUGUUGCCAUGGCGUUGUCAGCUUUGUCUUUGACUAUAUUGUGCAGUAUUGCGGAGUAUGUAUGGAACGGAUAUGAACUCUGCGCCGGAGAUUGGUUCAAUUGGUGUCCAUAGAUUAUGUCUGUCAUAUCUGUUUUGUCCGAGCGUUCACAUCGAAAAUUCCAUACUUAAAUGUUAAACAAUAGAGAGAAUUGAAGUCUUAAUUCAACAUUUUUAGAGAUGUAAGUCUAUGAUUUUGAUUUUAGUAUGAAUUAGAAGUUCUCAAAGAUCGGCACUUUGUGUUGUUUUUUCUUUUUAUGUUACAUGUUUAUUAUGUGUCUUCAUGUCCCCAGUACCGACCUGAUAAGUCAAUCCGUUUGUUUAACUAACAUGUUUUCAAUGGCAAUUGAUGUACAAACGAUAGAUAGUUUUUUUUUUUUAGAAAAAUCUAUGUAAUUGAAAUUGGAGAUUUUAUGAUUUUAAGAUAUACUAAAGAGCCUUUUCGCCGAAUGUAUGUACUUUCUAUACAUUUGUCCACUUAUUUUAGAAAUACUUCCAAAUUCAAUCAACAAUAUUUCAGAGUAUAAAGACCUUAAUGUUAAUACAUGAUCAUUUUUCUGUUAUCGUUUAAAGAGCCAAAGAUAUGUGACGAUGUUCACUAAAAUCCGAUUAAAUUGAAGAAACUUUACUGGUAUAGGGAAUAAAUUUUAACCAAACCAUGUCAAAUGGUUAACCAAACCACUUAAAUUUCUGAUAUCAUGCUUAGGUUGUCUUUGACUAAUGAGUUUGAAUAAACCUUCCGUUCCUUCCGCCCCUUUUUUUUCAUGUAGGGGUUAUUGGUUGUGAAUUGGCCUAGAAUAAUGAUCAACUCUAUCACUAGCGUCUCAACACUUAAGUUGUGAUUUGGAAACCUGCUCAUAGCACGGGUGUUUCAUUCCGAUCCUAAUUGAAAAGGAUGGCUGGUUUUACAGCCGUUGUUUAUUAGUUUUUCACGGGUUACCCGGUUACUCAAACAAAAACAAAAUUAGCCGCCGUGAUCACAGUCUAAAAUACUAAAAGUGCGUGAAACACAAGAGGUCAAUAAUUAAUCAAUCUUAUUUCAUUUAAUAGAUUCACUAACUGAAAUCGUAUUCUGUGCAAGCAUGGGCAAAAGAAGAAGACGCCAAAUUUUGUCCAUCUUAUUUCAAAGUUUGUUUACAUUGCUUUGAUUUUAAGUAAGAUAUAUACCUUUUGAGCAAAGGUCUAUGCAAAAUACUUCGAUUCAAAACAAAAUGCUUCCCAGCAAACACAAAACAUUUUACAAACAUUUGUUAAUGUCCUAUGGACAUCUUUCCGAAAACAUUGCAAUAUAGAUCAUUUGAACAUAAAAAAAUAUUUGUUUUAUUGUGUUUGAAAUGUUUUAAUUCUAACAUUUAAAUAAAAUAUUUUUACAACAUUCAAAAAAUAUUAUUUGCUAAUAUCUUAUAUUAGCGUUCUGGAACAUUGUUAUAUUUAAAAAAAAAAAUAUAAUAGUUUCUUCAAUUGAUAUUUCAUAUUGCUACAAUAUUAAAGUAAAUAUUCAAAAAAAAAUCUGCAAAAAGCAGAAAAUUAAGUAUUGAAAUUUGCGUAAAAUUUAUAACGUAAAAUUGAAAUGAAUUACGUUUAACAUCUAAAAUAUAUCAGUUCAAUGUUUUCCAUACAAUAUUUUGAAAUACACUUUAUUAAAUGUUCUUACUGAUAUGUAUUCAACAUUUUAAGGAUAUAUAAUUAACAUUUUAUUUAAACUUAGAUCAAAUCCCAAAGACAACGUUUUAUGGAAUUAGCUAGUUAGUUUUUUCCCUCAGUAUAAGAUAAAAUACACAUUUCUAUCAAUAUCAUCAAGGCAUUACAUAGUAUUAUAUACCUAUAUGGAGCUAUUUUCUUUCAGAACGAUAGGUCAUUCUUCCGACGAAUUAACCCGGACGAUACCAUGUUAAAAUGAAAUAUGAUUCAAGGCAUAACAUAUUGACCUGUUUGAGGUCAUUAUUUUCCUUCAUAUCAAUGCAAACUAUAAUUUACUUUAAAGUUAUAUUCGUCUUCGUUUUUUUGUUGCCUAUUGGGCAUUUAUUUUUUAAAGUUUAAUCUAUGAUAGGUGUAAACAAUUCGUCACAGCCCGCAUUUUAAUUUGAAAAACAGAUAAUGUGAAGUUUAAAUAAUUUAUCGCUUCAAUACAGAGACAUUAUAUGAGAUGAUUUUUAAUGUAAAACUUUCACAACAAUUAAAGAUAGUUUAAUUUGCGACGUAACGCGUCUUCUGAUUGGCUGACGUCGUUUUGUUUAUCAGCCCAUAGACAUAUAUCUGUCUUGGACCUUGACGUCAUCAACGUUUUUUCAUAGUUUACCACAGUUUAGAAUGGAAAUAACAUACAAAAUAUGGUGCACACUGUUAAAAGUCAUUCCUUAAAUAAAGCCAGAUUUAACAUAUUCGUGUGUAAGAUUUUGAAAAUCGUGUUGAUACACGCUGAAUAUAUUGAUUGGAUGAUGGUAGCUUGACGUCCAGGACCAAAUAUAACAUGCAUGUUCAGGACAGAACACACUGACUAGAAAAUCAUACUGUGACCUACAUGUAUUUAUUUUUGUUUUCGUGUAACAUGUACAGGUAUCACAACUUCGUUCCCCAUUUGUGUCUGUUCUUAACUUUUUUACAUUUAUGUAUACCUUUUUCUCUAUCAAAUGAUCAACUAAUAUUUGUUUUCUUAUAUUCUAUUGAAUAACAUUCAUGUACCUCACAAUGGGGUCGGGUGGGGGAGGGUAUAUAAUUUUAUCCUGCUUAUCUGUUAAAAAAUGUACUGCUAUUCAAAAGAAAAUUCUGAAUAUUCCAUUUUAUACAAUUAAAAUCGUUAACAUAGCACACGCCCCACACACACACAUUUCUAUAAUGUAAGUUGGUACAAUAAAAUACUUACAAUGUUUCUUGUAUUUUUCAUACACCGUUAUCGGAUGGUAACAAUUCAGUUGUGUCUUACUCCAUGCAGUUACAGUAAUAUUUUAAUUGUUUAUAGAUAAUAUUUUCUAAAGUUUAUAAUUAGAUUAAUUCGUGAGUUUUAUUUCAUAUUCUAAAAGAGCCGUAGGACGUAUUCAAACCUGAAUGCAUUGGAAAGGAAUAUCCCACUUUAGUGUGGUCGGUAAAAUAGGUUGCUAAAUAUUGCAAAUCUUAUAAUUUUUUUUUAUUUUUAACGGUAUAUAAGUCAGAUAAUGCAUAUUUGUAAUUUUUUCUUGUCGCAGAACACAUCUCGGGUUGUAAGAAUUGCCCAAAGAAAGACCUCACUAUACGGUCGGUCUUUUAUUUGAUCAAUCCUGACAUCCCUCGGUGUGUUUGACGACAAGAAAAAACUCUAAAUAUGCAUAAACUAUAACAUGUACUAUACAAAUCCUUAAUAUCCCAAAGUCAGUUUUGUAAUUCUUUUAAAGUCAAAAUUCAAAAGAGUAGACUUUGAAUUAAGCAAUACUGUAUAGAUAAACAGUUACUUUUCCUAAAUGUUUAUUAAAGGGCAUACGAUACAGUUUUGAUCCCGUAUUUACAUUUUGAUAAACAUUUCCAUAUAGACUAUUUAUUACCUGAUUAAAUCAAAUAUGUAAUAAAAAUUUACCUUCAUGUGCUACUUUUUGAGUAAAACGAGGUCGAUUUUUUGUAAACUUGCUCAAAAUUCGGAUUUGUGGCCGUAUUUUUCCCUUUCGAAGGAAAGACAUAACUAAAAAGACAAACCCAAAUUGUUUUUUGUUAAAUAAUUUGUAAUUUCUGUAUUUUAUUAAGUAUCCUAAAAAGUUAUACAUUUUUUAUUCAGAAAUAACUCAUAUUUAUUAAAUGUUCAUGAAUAUAGGAAAAAAACAUAACUUUUUGCUGUAUAUUUAUCAAAUUUAUAAAAAUUGCACUAUUUACGAUUUUAUGAAAAUUGGCACACAUAAUUUCCCGUGUAAUCAAACCAAAUGGCAUUUAAAAAGAGGGGGAUCCAUGAACUUGUUUUUAAGUUAAAUAAGUUUGAAUGAUAAAUAUCAGUCGAAAACUGAAUCUUUUCCCGAUAAGUCAUAGUUUGACGUCGCGAAAAUAACAAUUUAUUUAGCAACGUCAUUACCUCCCCUGUAAUUGUAUCGUAUGCCCUUAAUUCGUUCGUGUAAAUUUCAGAAAUUAAGAAAUGAAAACUUUUGAUGAAAUGUAACUGUAACUCCAUCUUCUUAUCGUUAUGCAUUACGGAAACCGACCUUAUUUGGAAUUGGUGCAGUAUUCGACUUUUUUGUUUUACUACCGGGAACUAGUUUGCAGAAAUGCAAUUUAAAAUUUUCAAAUUGAACACAAAGAAAGAACAAAUCAACAAAGAGAGCGAAGACAAUUGUUUGCUAAGAAGAAUUAAACUUUUGGGAUGAAACAUUUGUAUUCAUUUUGUGUUUCGAUCAUUAUCGGAACCAAUACCAGGAUUUUGAAAAAAAGGUGCGUCCUGGCAAUCAAACGUUUGAAGUGAUACUUGUAAAAAGUUAUGCAUCUAUCUUAUAUGUCGCUCCAUGAGGGAGGUUUGGGCAUCUAAAUCAUCCGCUGUUUUAGCAUCUGCAUGUAUUUGUUUGCCCAGAAUUAGUGGCGAGGACAGAACAAUUUUAAAAUUAAUUAAAAUAAAACAAAAAAUACACUAAUUGUAAAAAAAAAAAAACAUUUUGCUAGCGGUAUAAUGUAAAAUCAUGCAUGCAAAGAUUUCCUUUCAAAACAAUAAAUGAACGUUCCCUUAAUAAAUAGUAUUUCAAGGACUAUUUAAGACUUCAGUUAUAAGCAAGUUAAUAUAAACUGAUGAUAAGAACUAUAUGCAUGCAUUGAUUCAUACACAAAAUUUAAUUUACAAUUUUGCAAGUGGCGCAAGUACUCUGGAAUGUCAACAACCAAUCAGCAGUAAAAAAAGUACGAUUUUCAUACAGGAUGACUGUCUUUUCAUAUUUACUUUGACGACUUAGUAAAGACUAGGCAUACAGUACAGAAAAAAUAUCUGUAUUUUUAAUUAAAUUAUUGUUUAGUAUAAAUAAAAACAAGUUGUUAUUUUAGAUCAUUCUUUUAGUCUGCUUUCACAAACACGUAACUAUUUGAUUUCCUUUGAAAAUGAUCUCAAAUACAGACAACCGAUUUGAUGGAAUCUACGUGUUCCCCGGAAGUUAGAGUUAUAUUAUAUGCAACAUCAUGAAACCAAUGUAUAACACUUACUUGUACUGUAUUGUAUCUCACACUACAGAUUUUAACACUUAAAAAGGACAAUAAGACGUUAAAUGUAUUAGGCUUUUAAAGUCCCUACAUGAUACAACGUAUAAUGGAAAAAGCACUAUAAAAUAAUUACUCGUUAAAAGUGUUCAUGAUAAAUUAAUUUCUAGAAUAAAAAAAACAACACUUCAAGUACUCGCAAAACAGGGUGUUUACAGGCAGACAAAUCACAUAAUUAUGUAGUGAUGGUGUGACACAUAUACUACACGGCAGUUCUCCGAAACAAAAUUGUCAAUUAUUCAACAUUCAGGUCUGUACGAUACAUUUACAGUAAAACUGUAAACAAGCAUAUCACUGCCACUACCAAGCUGAAAUACUCUUCCAAACAUUUGAAGGUCCCAACUAUGUAUUGCCAAUCUUCAUUGCACAAAGAGCCGUUUAAAUUCUGUUUCUAUUCUGCAUCUAGUAGAUGUUCUACUAAUGAUAUAUCAAUGCUUCUAACUGCAUGCAUGUAUCUUACAAGUAUCACAGAACUUGUUAUUAAACUUAUACAUCCUUCUGAUUUCAAAUGUUCGGCUUUGAGUGUUCUGAUGAAGGUAAAUCCAGAAAAGCGCCUCGGAUGAAUGACAUUAUUUAGCGUGUUGUUUUCAAUUGAUUGCCUUUUGUUAUAAAGCUUAUGAAAAUAGUAGUAUUAGCUUUUUUUUUGGAAAGUUAGUAAACAAAUCUAGUUUUUAGAUAAAGUACAUGUUUAUGAUGGUCCUUUUAGUUCUUUUGAUAUUUAUUAUUUUUCUACUUUCUACACCACAUCUCCAAACAAGAAAAAGUUAACGUAUUCAAUGUUAUGUUGUUUUGAAAAAUUUCAUCGCAAAUGUAUUUACUGUUACUCGUUUAAAGCCUUUUGUAUAUUACGAAAAAGGAAAGUAUGCCAGCGACACUUACUUAAAAUUUGAAAAUGUGAUUUAAGUUUUUUUAAAUGUUCUCCUGGACAACUUAUAUGUACGUUACGGCGAUAAAGUGCCUCGACAGGUAGUAGGUAUUUGUAUUGACAAUACUUGUGCCCUUUUAAUAGCAGAUUUGCUACUGUAUUGCUAUGAAUCUCAUUGUAUGACGAAACUCAGUAAAGACACAAUUGUUACAUUUGAUACAUUCAACAAGACCAACUGUUAUCUUGAUAAUAGUUUUUUCGUUUAAUAAUCCAGUGUUCUUUAAAAGAGGGACGAAAAAUACUAAAGGGACAGUCAAACUCAUGAAUCAAAAAUAAACUGACAGCACUAUGGCUAAAAAUGAAAGACAAACAGACAGACAAUAGUACACAUGACACAACAUAGAAAACUAAAAAUAAAGCAACACGAACCCAUCAAAAAUUGGGGGUGAUCUCAGGUGCUCCGGAAUGGUAAGCAAAUCCUGCUCCAUAUGUGACACCCGUUGUGUUGCUUAUGUGAUAACAAAUCAUGUAAGUAGUCUAAUUCGGAAGGUCACAUUCAUGAAAGGGAAAGGGAUUGUAGUUGCGACGUAAGGAACAUAACGGAUAUCUUUUGUGAAACGGUUAUUCCAUAACGGUCAACCAACUCGUGAUGGCGUCCGUACAAUUUACGAAGGGAUGAUUUCAACUUCACCAUUUGGAACUCUUGGUUUAACAGUUUCCUUGUGGGCAGCAACCCUCUAUCAAGAAAAUCAUGAUAGGAAGUGCAAGCACGGGAAAAUCGUAUCAAUUGGGAAAUACAUAUCCCGUAUGCAGGAAUGUGGUUACUUAGAAAUGGAAAGUUCACAAUUGAAAAGCUGAAAUCAUCUCUUUUGUCGUAAAGUUUUGUUUUCAACCGACCCUCAUAAUCAAUUUCUAAAUGUAAGCCAAGACAUGAGGCCGACUAAACUGUAUCUGUAGUAUCCUGUAUCUCUAGUUCGAUGGGAUAGAUCCGUUCAACAUAGUCACCAAAUUUUGAAUUAUUUAGUGAAAGAACAUCAUCUUUAUAGCGGAAAGUAGAGUUAAAGGAUACUGCUAACUUCUUAUCUUUCUUCCUCAGAAGUUCUUGUAUGAAGUAAGCCUUAUAAUAAUAAUACGCCAGACGCGCGUUUCGUCUAUAUAAGACUAUCAGUGACACUCAGAUCAAAAUGAUUAUAAAGCCAAAAAAGUUAAAGAGCAUUGAGGACCCAAAUUUCAAAAAGUUGUGCUAAAUACGGCUAAGGUAAUUUAUUCCUGGAAUAAGAAAAUAUAUUGUUAUUAAAGCUUGUAAAUUCACCGUUCCUUCAAACAAACUUAUUAGUAAAGGUUAUUUUACCAAUGUUUUAAUUAGAUCUUUGAAUAUAGUUUAUUUUGGCAAAUUUAUCGAUUUUUUUUUCAUCAGCAAAUUAAUACAUGACAAAAUAUGUAUUCUUUUCAAACGAUAUAAAUAAAUACACUCACGGUAAUUCUUUUAUAUAUAACUAACUCGGAACAUUCCCACUGCACGUCAAUACUUUAAAUUUUUGGCAUUGCAAAAGUCUUCUUUGACUGUCAAUGACGUUAAAAAACUAAAUUCCGGGGAUGUGGUUAAGUAUAUUUUAGACUCUGAUGCAUGAUUUUUUUUUAUUAUUAAUUGUUUUUGGCUAUUAACUAGCUUUCAGUAAUUGCGAGUGCUCUCAAAUCGUACUUUCGUGUUAAUUUGUAAUUUAAAGUUAUAUCUCGGUUCUUUAUUUUUAAUAUAUACCAGCUUUGAUGAUUGUUUGAUGAUUGUUUGGUACACAAAUACAUUUUCACUCCUGGGAUCUGUUGUUCAACUUGUGUUUAAACUUAUCAUAUGAUUAAGUUUAACGAGUCAUUAAAAGUUAUCGCAUGGUUAGUAAAUACUAUGAUUAAAUUGUGAUGAUUAACUUAUUUUGAUUAUUGUAUUUACUAAUCACUGUAUUAAUUGUAAUCAUAUGAUUAAGUGUGUGUAGUUAGCAAGUGUUUCCAAUAAUGCAUUGUAAAUCAGGGCCUAUAUAACUAACUUCCCGUUCUGAUUUAAAUUAUAGCAUUCUACUUUAAACCAGUUUUUGGAUGCUAAUAAUUAUUGAAUAAAUAUCUUAUAAUAUGUUUAUAUUUUUUGAUGGAAAAAUAUUCAUAUUUUAGAUAUCUUUCCCAGUUCAAAAUGAAAUGUAAUGAAUGGAAAAGUAAUUUCAGUGAAUGCACUGAGAAAGUAAUAUGCAUUUAUCUACCUAGUCCAAAUAAUUAUGACGUCCUGAAAGGUUGUUCUAUUAUUUUAUUCUUUGAUGCCUUACAUCGCGUCAAAGCAAACUUUUAAAAUAGCCUUCCAGAGCGUCAUUAUUAUUUGGACUAUUAUUUACCAUGCAAAUGAUUAAGGGUGCAUUUUGUAAUAAUCAACAUUUGCAUUCCACUUUAAAUUGUGACUAGGGCCAGAGUUUUUUAUGUGUUUGCUAAUAAAGCUUUGUAUAGAUCUGAAAUAGUUUUAUGAUGCAUCAUAUCAAACUCCGGACAGUGAUCGUUUCCGUUCCGGAACUAUUUUCCUUUACUCCAUCAAUGGCUUCAUAUAUGACUGUUGUUAUUCAGAAUCAACAAUGUCAGUGAUUGUCUAUGGUCCUCAAUACAAGUGCAUCAUUCCUGGCCAUGAUUUUCAUGGAAUUUGAUGUCCGACGACGACAACAACACAUUGUCAGCAAUAGCAAUGAUGAUUUAAAGUGUUUGUUUUUACAUAUCCACAUCAUAGUGAUUCAUUCAAAUACCUAUAAUAUCUGUUGUUAUAUUAGUCCAACAUUCUAACCAUGCGAACGAUAGGCUUUGGUUUAUAAAUGACGAAAUUAUUGGGAUUAAAAUGCAUGAAUUAUUGCUUAUGGCAAAUAGGGACACAUAGGGCCUAUGUCACUGGGACUGAUGUCUGAAAAGUGAUAAAAUGUGUUUCUUUAAUUUUUUUGCACAUGUUUACAGUAUCAACUAUAUUUAAUAAGAUUAUUUUAAUAAUAUCCACAUGUAAAUAACAGCAUAUGGUGCAUGAUUUAACAAAAGUUUGUUCAUUAUAGUGUCAAACAAAGGGACGUAACUCGUGAAUUACCGUCGGCCCCGCUUCCUCAGAAAUAUCGAUACAUCGAAGUGGCACAUUUGCGAAUCUGAGCGUAUCAAGUGGCACAAAUUUGAAAUAGCAUAGUCCAAGUAUGUUACAUACCAUAAUUUAAAUUCAGCAUAGCUUCCCGAGAAGUUAAGAAAGAAAAUUACGAUUUUAAUUUUCUGUGACCAAUUUUUUCGCCAAAACCUUGAAUUUGGAGACCAUUUUCAGAGAAAAAAAUGAGUUAAUCCAUAAUGAAAUGAGUUUAUAUUUUUUUAUAUACUCAAGAAUGUUCACUGAAAAGGAAUUAGUUUAAUUCAUGCAAAAAACUACAAAUUCCAAAAAACAGGCUUCACGUUUUUUUGUAAACAAAAUGCCCAUAUAUGGUAAUCAGAUGACGUCCAUUAUUGCUUUAAGAAAUUGGGUGAAACCGGGUCAGCUUUCCGACUGUUUGAUUACAUUAAAAGCAUGAUUUUGAUAUUUUAAAGGAGAACAAAGAAACGUAGGAAAUCGUUUUAUGACCCCAUCAAGCUGUCUUAAACUCUCGGUGUCCUCGAAUAUAAACCCUUAUCAAUGCUUGUAGUAAGUUGCAUAUUUGUCUUUAUGAUAUAUAGGUUUUUAUCAAAAAAACGACAUCAAAAAUUGAUGUUUUCUAUCUUAUAUUUCUAAAAACAAAAACAAACCCCGAUGAUUCUUGAAACAUUUAGAAAUAUAUAAAUAGAAAUAAAUAUGGAAAGCCCAUGAAACAGAAAUAUAUAGCGAAAACCUACCUAACACCGCUUAAAUGACGGUCAGACCCCCUGUUCUUUCAAUGUACAUAAAAUUAGACGAAUUCAUAGACUCUGUAUAUAUAUCAAGAUUGUAUCAAAAGGAUUUCCGAGAAAAAUGUCAUCUUCGAUUGAGAGAUCAGGGGGCUAUCACCAUUGCCUUGUGCCCUUUGUCCUAAAAUUUUGAUAUUUUUUUAGCUGGAAAGUGACAAUAUAAGCCCUCCAUAGAUAUCGAAUAGGACAUUAUUCUGGGAAAUCCUUCUAAUACAAUCUUUAUAUGUACAGAGUCUAUGAUUUAAUUAAAUUUUAUGGACAUUGAAAGACCAAGGGUCUACCCUCAUUUAAGCGGUCUCAGAUAGGUUUUCACUAUAUAUUUGGAAUAUCCAACUAGCACUUUGGGCGCGCCGUAAACAUGAAAGACAGGAAUUGUACCCUAAUUGCUUUGAGUCACGUUUGUAUCUACCUAGUGACUUAAUAUCUGCUUAAUUUUAGGCAGAUUGAGAGAUCAGGGGGCUAUCACUAUUACCCUGUGCCCUUUGUCCUAAAAUUUUGAUAAAUUUUUGCUGAAAAGUGACAAUAUAAGCCCUCCAUAGUUUCGAACAUGACAUUAUUCUGGGAAAUCCUUCUAGUCUAAUCUUUAUAUAUACAUAGUCUAUGAUUUAGUCAAAUUUUAUGGACAUUGAAAGACCAGGGGGUCUCACCUUCAUUUAAGCGGUCUCAGAUAGGAUUUCACUAUAUAUUUUGAAUAUUCAACUGGCAUUUUGGGCGCUCCGUAAACAUGAAAGACAGGAAGUGUACCCGAAUUCCUUUGAGUCACGUUUGUAUCAACCUAAUGACUAAAUAUCUGCUUAAUAAUAGGCUGAUUGAGAGAUCAGUGGGCUAUCACCAUUGCCCUGAGGCUGUGCCCUUUGUCCUAAAAUUUUGAUAAUUAUGUUUUAGCUGAAAAGUGACAAUAUAAGCCUUCCAUAGAUAUCGAAUAUGACAUUAUUCUUGGAAAUCCUUCUAAUACAAUCUUUAUAUGUACAGAGCCUAUGAUUUAAUUAAAUUUUAUGGACAUUAAAAGACCAGGGGGUCUCACCCUCUUUUGAGCGGUCUCAGGUAGGGUUUCACUAUAUAUUUCUUUUUUGGGCAUUCCAUAAAUAUUUCUUUUUAUAUAUUCCAAAAUGUUUUCUAGAGUUAGCGGUUUUUGUUUUUGUUUUUAAGAAACAUCAUUCAAUUUAUAAAAGUACAUCUUUGAAGCUUUUUUAUUGACAGUAAAUUAUAUUACAUAAAGACAAAUUUGCAAGUUAGAAAAGGGUUUAUUGAAGAGGUCAUGAAAUAAUUUUUUACGUAUCUUAUCAGAUUUAAACUAUAAAAAUCAUGCUUUUGAUGUUAUUAAGUUGUUUUUUUUAUGAUUUUUAACUUAAUUUUGAAUAUCCAACUGACUGCUAGCAGCCGGUUUGAUAUUGAAUAUUGAAUAUCGAAUAACGUACCGGCUGCUAACUUCACAUACAUUCAGAGAACCUUAAAGUUUUCAAUGAUUUUUUAAAACUUAAAUAACGACUUGUAAGUGACAUAUCGACAAUACCCUGUCCCCCAUAAAACCAUAGUAAAGAUCAACUAAGCAAUCUGACAGUAGUAUACAUCUUGGGUAUCCGAUAUUCACGUGGGAUGGGGGAGGGGGUUGUAAAUAUCAUAGUAAAAAGAAAGACAAGAAGAUGUACUAUAAUUGCAAACGAGAUAAUUCCCUGUUGGUGACCAAUUGAUGUAGAAGUUUACGGAUUAAAGUCACCGUACGGCCUUCAACAACGAGCAAAACCAUUAUAAAAUAAUAAACUAUGUAUGGUAAAGAUAUGAAAAACCACGGUAGUAAUUUAAUCAAGAAAUCUAAAGGCCUUAUCUAUGUAAAAAGCUAUGAACGUAAAACAAUGUUAUAUUUGUUAUUCUCGUUGGAUUUUGUCUGAUGCUUGGUCCGUUUCUGUGUGUGUACCUGUAGUUUGUGUCGUUGUUCUCCUCUUAUAUUUAAUGUGUCCUCAUUUUAGUUGUUACCCGAUUUUUUUUGUCCAUGGAUUUAUGAGUUUGAACAGCGGUAUAUAUAGCAAAACAUGCAACAACUGAAUUACAGCCAUAUCCAAAAAGUCGAUUUAUGGUAUACAAGUAUGAUUAGUUGGUUCCUUUUGUGCGGUCUCUCAUUUACACUAGUAAUUUUAUGUCGCCUUUAUAGCGUGCUGUUCGAUGUGAUCCAAGGCUCCGUACUUUGACCUACAAUAGUUUACUUUUACUAAUUGUGACUUGGGUGCAGAGUUGUCUCAUUGGCACUCAUACCACAUCUUCUUAUACCUAUUGGGUAGCAUCAUGUGUAUUAUUUGUGUAUAAUACAAAGAUCAAACUUCACUGGAAAAUAAGACUUUGAAAUAAACAUAUGGAAAUAAGGCACGAUUGCAACAAGACAAAUAGCCGCCUAAGUUCAAACAAAGUGUAUGAAAGCAAAUAGACAAUUGGACGGCCUUAGCAAUGAGAGACACAUAGACCGUAUAGUCAGCAAUAAAAGGCCCCAACAUACAAAGGUCAAAUUAUCAAAAAAAAAAAUAGUACAAGACAAUAAAUAUACCGACAUGAAUUGACGACAACCACUUAACUCCAGGCUUCUGACUUGAGUAGGCACAUUAUUGUGUUUUUGUCCUUUUUUGCACAAUUUUAAAACAUAAACACAUGUUUUCUGUCUAAAACACAUUACGUUGUAGAAUUUCUGUAAAUAAAUUAUAGAAAAAAAAACCUUUUGAUUACCAGAUACCCUAUAACGUUUACUAACUCAAACGAGUUGCAAAUCACGCAUUAGUCACUGAAUCGCAUUCUAGAUAUUCAUUCAAAAAACGUAAAACAUUGUUUUUAUUUUUAUUUAGCCAUAUGACCACCUCUUGCUAUACGUUGAUUAUUUAUUAUCAAUUUUCAGAUUCACUUCAAUGCCAAAACGGAUGGUUAAGAAACGAAAACAAAUGCUAUUACUUCAGCG
This 20267-nucleotide long non-coding RNA is filed under the name Mytilus galloprovincialis (Mediterranean mussel). Lineage: Eukaryota; Metazoa; Mollusca; Bivalvia; Mytilida; Mytilidae. The record is from RNAcentral.